GUUGUUCUGUCUCGCUUGGGUUUUUUAUUGAUCUGUUAAUGGCGUUGUUAUGGGCCCGGUGGGGAGUAGGUACUUGGGUUUGGGAUGCUGCAUUUUUGCUCAUGGCCUUGAGUCAACUCCUCAGAUAUUCGAAACGUGGCUGGGCCGGAAGGCCUGAGAUGGGAUGACUCAGGUCAGGAGGAUUUGUGAGCUUGUUUUGGAGAAGAAAGAGAACGCCUUUGGGGAGGUUUCCAUCACCUGGAUGACCAGCAUCCAACUGCCAUUACUGCCCAGAAGUCAGAUUGCCCAUGGGAUACUGUGGAGUGAAAGAAACACGGAUGACCCCUUUGUUUCUCUGAAACUCCUCCCGCCAAGCCCUUUAGCUCUAUGAAACCCCCUGCUUUCUUCUCUUGUUAAGGUGGAUUUGAGAGAAC
RNAcentral lists this long non-coding RNA (413 nucleotides) under Equus asinus (donkey). Its description in RNAcentral is "lncRNA (ENSEASG00005024609.1)". Lineage: Eukaryota; Metazoa; Chordata; Mammalia; Perissodactyla; Equidae. The record is from RNAcentral.